Molecule: ribosomal RNA, 226 nt
Filed under: Rubrivivax sp.
Lineage: Bacteria; Pseudomonadati; Pseudomonadota; Betaproteobacteria; Burkholderiales; Sphaerotilaceae
Description: partial 23S ribosomal RNA
Rfam family: Bacterial large subunit ribosomal RNA
Source: RNAcentral
CACCUCUGGUGCAUCGGUUGUCACGCCAGUGGCAUAGCCGAGUAGCUAAGUGCGGAAGAGAUAACCGCUGAAAGCAUCUAAGCGGGAAACUCGUCUCAAGAUGAGUCUUGCCGGGGCCUUGAGCCCCCUGAAGAGUCGUUCGAGACCAGGACGUUGAUAGGCUGGGUGUGGAAGCGCAGUAAUGCGUUAAGCUGACCAGUACUAAUUGCUCGUGAGGCUUGACCCU